GUGGAACACAACAAUAGACAUGGGGUCCACUCGCCGACACUCCUGCGUAGACUUGGCCGCCACACCAAAACCCUGCAGAUUAAGACAAACAGCCAGCCUAUAAGUGCCUUUUGUCAUAUAACCUUGAGUUAAUCAGCAUGAGUGUUACCAGCAGGAAUAUGUAUCUUUGUUGUACUGUGAAUACUGUCCAUAACAGUGUGACAAGAAGAGCAACCUUUAAAGGACUUACCAGAGGCACAUCUGCCAUGGAGUAAACCACAACUCCCUGAUACUGCAUAGUGUUCUCAGUAAUUCUGCCAAGACCAGAUUUUAGCACGUGGUUCCCAUACAGGAAAGACUGCUCUGUUCCAGGUUUCACCCACACCUUAAA
Long non-coding RNA from Oreochromis niloticus (Nile tilapia), 370 nucleotides. RefSeq lists it as uncharacterized. The record is from RefSeq and is a predicted model, not a curated record. The transcript has 2 exons. Lineage: Eukaryota; Metazoa; Chordata; Actinopteri; Cichliformes; Cichlidae.